CUGCAAGUCGGAUGUGCCGCAAGGUGCAUGGCAGACGGGUGAGUAACGCGUAGGGAACCUGCCCUUUUGUGGGGAAUAACGUUCCGAAAGGAAUGGUAAUACCGCAUGAGACCGAUGGCUGGGAUGCGAUCGGUGAAAGCCGGGGACCGGAAACGGCCUGGCGCGAGAGGAGGGUCCUGCGUCUGAUUAGCUAGUUGGCGGGGUAACGGCCCACCAAGGCAACGAUCAGUAGCCGGCCUGAGAGGGUGAUCGGCCACACUGGAACUGAGACACGGUCCAGACUCCUACGGGAGGCAGCAGUGGGGAAUUUUGCGCAAUGGACGGAAGUCUGACGCAGCAACGCCGCGUGGGUGAUGAAGGUCUUCGGAUUGUAAAACCCUGUCGUCGGGGACGAAGGCGCACGGUUUAACAGAUCGUGUGUU
This 422-nucleotide ribosomal RNA is filed under the name uncultured bacterium. RNAcentral describes it as "bacterial SSU rRNA". It matches the Rfam family "Bacterial small subunit ribosomal RNA", at positions 55 to 470 of the family's 1533-position model. The record is from RNAcentral.